This 253-nucleotide ribosomal RNA is filed under the name uncultured bacterium. Its description in RNAcentral is "partial 16S ribosomal RNA". It matches the Rfam family "Bacterial small subunit ribosomal RNA", at positions 524 to 776 of the family's 1533-position model. The record is from RNAcentral.
GACGUAGGGCGCGAGCGUUGUCCGGAUUUAUUGGGCGUAAAGAGCUCGUAGGCGGCUUGUCGCGUCGACCGUGAAAACUUGGGGCUCAACCCCAAGCCUGCGGUCGAUACGGGCAGGCUCGAGUUCGGUAGGGGAGACUGGAAUUCCUGGUGUAGCGGCGAAAUGCGCAGAUAUCAGGAGGAACACCGAUGGCGAAGGCAGGUCUCUGGGCCGAUACUGACGCUGAGGAGCGAAAGCGUGGGGAGCGAACAGG